UUUCUAUAUAUAUAUUCUUAUUCCAUCCUUACUUGGAUUUGUGUGUAUUAGGUAGUUGUUGUGGAAUUGUUAGACUACUUGUUUGAUAUUACUGUACUGUCGGAACUAGAAGCACAAGCAUUUCGCUAGUCUCGCAAUAACAUCUGCUAACCAUGUGUGUGACCAAUACAUUUUUAUUUGAUUUGACAUUUGUUCAAAUGAUUUGCUUCUCCCAUUAAAUAAAGGAGCCAGAUGGGUGUCAGGGGUGGCAUCCCUGACAUCUGAUUGGCCACCCCUGGCAGUUUGAUGCUGAUUGACCUCUCACUUCACCUCUUGUUGAAAGAAGCAUUUAUUUUGAUGUUCGGCGACGCAGUUAUUCAAAUCGAGGACGAGGAAGAGAGAAUGUUAACGUUGGUUGCGAGAUAGAGAAGAAUAAGAAGGACACACAGAAGAAGAGAGAGUAUUUCCACAGUUCCACGAGCUCUUUUCGCGAUUGGCGAAAGCAUCAUAUUUAAAGAUCAAUUAAACAUGAAAAGAAAGGGAGAGAUAUCAGACUUCUGCUACAAAAGAACACAAUGACGUUUUGAAGAUCCAGAGAAGAGGGUCCUGUUCCAGCCGUGUUUGAAAACAUUUCCCAGAACUCAGCAUGGUUCUCAGAAAAGGGCUUUCAACAUCUCCUGGAAUAAGGACAAUUCAUGGCUUGAAUAUUCUGUAAAUCAAGAUUUGACUUAUUGUUUCGCCUGUAUGCAUUUUUCUCUGCCCAAUAGACCUGAAUCUGCCUUCACAUCACAGUAGGGUUAUUGUAACUGGAAAAAGGCGCUAUUUGAAGAUUCUGGGUUUAAGCUCCAUUCGAAGGCAGAGCAUCAUAUCAAUGCUGUGUAUGCUUGGAAUCAGCAUAAAGGGGCUAUUGACAGCAACUCAUUAAUGUUAGACGUCAUAAAUGAGGACCGGAAAAAGUAAGUGGAGGAAAACUGUACUUACAUUAAAACAAUUGCAGAUGUGCUCCUAUUAACUGCCACUCAAAAUAUAGCGCAGAGAGGUCAUCGAGAGUCUGACUCUCACAACCAGGGUGAUUUUUUUGACACUUAGAAGAAAUCGCAAAGCAUGACCCUCUCAUAGAGAAAGGGAUGAAUGCAUGUGGCAAUGCUAAGUACACAAGCCACCAAAUCCAGAAUGAAAUUCUUGAGGGCUUAGCUGAGAUGGUACAAAGUGAAAUAAUAAGAUAGGUAAAAGAAAGAUACGUUUUUAGUGUAAUUACAGAUGAAACCAGAGAUUGAAAGAAAAGAAGAACAAUGGGGCCAUCCACGAAAGCUUUUUACACUUUCAGUCAGCUGAAAGCUUAGAUGCAGCAGGUCUCACAAAAAUUAUAAUUGAUUGCCUUGAAAAACAUGUUCUGGACUACAGAAAGAAACUUAUGGGGCAAGGCUAUGACGGUGCAUCCGUCAUGAGCGGAAAGCAUUCUGGUGUGUCUGUUCGGAUUCAAAAUUGUAUGUGCGCUGUAACGCACAUUGUUUGGUUUUGGUUCUUGUCGAUGCUGUAAAAUCGGUGCCUGAGGCAGUUCACUUUUUUGCUCUCCUGCAGCAGUUUUAUAACUUUCUAUCUGGCUCGUACGUUCAUCUCAAGUGGCUUGCAGUUCAAAAAGAGCUGUAGCCGCAGCAGCCCAGGGAACGACAGAGACUUACGGAUGGAAGGUGGGCAUGCAGAUAGAUUACGGCAUGUGAUGUGAGGGACAGGCUUCCAGCAGUUCUGAGAGUGCUACAGGAUAUCACACUUGAAAAUAGUGGUGAUAGAUCAGUGGAGGCAAGGGGCCUUCUUUCUCAGAUUGACAUUUCAUAGGGCUUUUGGUUACCUUUUUUUAUAAAGUGCUUGGUGAUGCCAAAUGUCUUUCUGACUUGCACCAAUCAAGCGCUCUCGACCUAGCAAGGGCUGUGGAUCUAGUAGGUGCCCUUACAGACACAUUACAGGACUACAGAGGGUGACUUUGGAGAACUAUGGAAAGAGGUUGCAGAGCACUGCAAAAUAAGUGUACAAACUUAGACAGCCUAAAACAAGCUCAAAAUUUCACGACUCAUUGAUGAUGAGCACUGUAGGACAGAAAAAUAGUGACCAAAGUGAUGGUGAGAGCUUCCGAAGAGCUAUCUUUUAUCUGGUGCUUGACAGUCUAACAGCUGAGCUGCAGAAGCGUUUUUCAAAGCAAAAUUGCGAGAUGAUGCAAAGGGGUCCAGUCUCUCAACCCAAAGAGUACAACAUUCUUGAAUGAGGAGCCUCUGUUUGCCUUUGAGUCAGAUUUAGAGGACCUCAAACAUGAGGUUCAUCAAACCAAGCGGCCUCUUGCUACAAGAGAGAAAAGUGGAAGGGACAGACCGUCUCCUCUCCUUGACUUUGUUGUGUUUCUAGAACCUUAUAAAGAGGUCUUCCAUGAGCUAUUUCGACAUUGCAAGAUUUCUGUUGUUACACCAGUCAGCAGUGCUUCUUGCGAGAUAAGCUUCUCAGCUUUAAAACCGAUUAAAACCCACCUGAGGUCAACAAUGGUCGAUGACAGGUUAAGUCACCUCGGGAAUUCUCAGUGUUGAGUCAAGGAGGGCAUGCUCCCUCGACAUGGAUGAGUUUGUGAAACAUUUAGCCAGUUCUCACCAGAACAGUAGAAUUAUGCUGUUUUAAAUCUACCUAGGAUAAUUUGGCACUUAGGCGGUCCCUCUGGUCAUGAUUAAAACCUGCACUGUGUACUAGCUAGAACACUUGACAUUCUAAAAUCAUAAAUCCAAAGGGUAUCAUGUCACACAGAUGUUAUUCGGUCUUGAUUAGGCAGAUUCCAAAACUUUUGUUAGCUAUUAGUUAACAUAUCUAUGAACAUAAAUAUGUAAGUCUGUAAUAUUGAUGGGCUCCCAAUUUAUUUUUCAAGUUAAUUUCUGCUUGAUACCAGGUAUGUCAAAUUGCAGUGUUUUUUUGUUGUUGUAAAUAAACAAUGCAAUUUAUGUAACACACAA
Molecule: long non-coding RNA, 2966 nt
Organism: Oncorhynchus tshawytscha (Chinook salmon)
Lineage: Eukaryota; Metazoa; Chordata; Actinopteri; Salmoniformes; Salmonidae
Source: Ensembl